GAUGAACGCUGGCGGCGUGCCUAAUACAUGCAAGUCGAGCGAACGGACGAGAAGCUUGCUUCUCUGAUGUUAGCGGCGGACGGGUGAGUAACACGUGGAUAACCUACCUAUAAGACUGGGAUAACUUCGGGAAACCGGAGCUAAUACCGGAUAAUAUUUUGAACCGCAUGGUUCAAAAGUGAAAGACGGUCUUGCUGUCACUUAUAGAUGGAUCCGCGCUGCAUUAGCUAGUUGGUAAGGUAACGGCUUACCAAGGCAACGAUGCAUAGCCGACCUGAGAGGGUGAUCGGCCACACUGGAACUGAGACACGGUCCAGACUUCUACGGGAGGCAGCAGUAGGGAAUCUUCCGCAAUGGGCGAAAGCCUGACGGAGCAACGCCGCGUGAGUGAUGAAGGUCUUCGGAUCGUAAAACUCUGUUAUUAGGGAAGAACAUAUGUGUAAGUAACUGUGCACAUCUUGACGGUACCUAAUCAGAAAGCCACGGCUAACUACGUGCCAGCAGCCGCGGUAAUACGUAGGUGGCAAGCGUUAUCCGGAAUUAUUGGGCGUAAAGCGCGCGUAGGCGGUUUUUUAAGUCUGAUGUGAAAGCCCACGGCUCAACCGUGGAGGGUCAUUGGAAACUGGAAAACUUGAGUGCAGAAGAGGAAAGUGGAAUUCCGUGUGUAGCGGUGAAAUGCGCAGAGAUAUGGAGGAACACCAGUGGCGAAGGCGACUUUCUGGUCUGUAACUGACGCUGAUGUGCGAAAGCGUGGGGAUCAAACAGGAUUAGAUACCCUGGUAGUCCACGCCGUAAACGAUGAGUGCUAAGUGUUAGGGGGUUUCCGCCCCUUAGUGCUGCAGCUAACGCAUUAAGCACUCCGCCUGGGGAGUACGACCGCAAGGUUGAAACUCAAAGGAAUUGACGGGGACCCGCACAAGCGGUGGAGCAUGUGGUUUAAUUCGAAGCAACGCGAAGAACCUUACCAAAUCUUGACAUCCUUUGACAACUCUAGAGAUAGAGCCUUCCCCUUCGGGGGACAAAGUGACAGGUGGUGCAUGGUUGUCGUCAGCUCGUGUCGUGAGAUGUUGGGUUAAGUCCCGCAACGAGCGCAACCCUUAAGCUUAGUUGCCAUCAUUAAGUUGGGCACUCUAAGUUGACUGCCGGUGACAAACCGGAGGAAGGUGGGGAUGACGUCAAAUCAUCAUGCCCCUUAUGAUUUGGGCUACACACGUGCUACAAUGGACAAUACAAAGGGCAGCGAAACCGCGAGGUCAAGCAAAUCCCAUAAAGUUGUCCUCAGUUCGGAUUGUAGUCUGCAACUCGACUACAUGAAGCUGGAAUCGCUAGUAAUCGUAGAUCAGCAUGCUACGGUGAAUACGUUCCCGGGUCU
RNAcentral lists this ribosomal RNA (1372 nucleotides) under uncultured bacterium. Its description in RNAcentral is "bacterial SSU rRNA". It matches the Rfam family "Bacterial small subunit ribosomal RNA", at positions 28 to 1381 of the family's 1533-position model. The record is from RNAcentral.